Molecule: non-coding RNA, 9868 nt
Organism: Oryctolagus cuniculus (rabbit)
Lineage: Eukaryota; Metazoa; Chordata; Mammalia; Lagomorpha; Leporidae
Source: RefSeq, a predicted model, not a curated record
UGGAGCAUGGAGCCCAUGGAAUGUCAUACAGCCCGUGGUAAGGUAUAGAGCCUGUGGAAGGCAUGAAGCCCAUUGUAAGACAGAAAGCCCAUGGAAGGCAUAAAGCCCAUAGAAGGUUGUGGUGUCUGGUACCAGGACUUGGAGCCAAAGCAGAGUGGAACCACAACUUAUGGUAAAGGUUGCUGUGAAAGAAUUCCCCAUUCUCUGUCUUACCUCAGAAUUUUGGAGGGCAAGUGUGUGGAUGGAGAUCAAAGAGCUUUCAGUGGCGAGGAAGGCAGUCCAGGGGUUAAGAAGUUAAACUUGCUUGGCUCGAGUGGAAGUUAAAUGCAGUGAUAAUUUGUCAAAAGUUGAUUAACCAGAGAUGGACGCAAACUUGAGUCUCUUUACUACUGACAGAAAAAACCAAAUUUUUCUUUUUGGAACAGAGCAUUUAGCUGAGCCCAUUGAAUUCUAGGCUUGAAGAAAGUGGGCUGAAUGGAGAACCAUCUCUGAUUCUUGGGCUGGGCAAUUUCCUUUGGUGAAAAUCACAUUUGGCAUCACAUAAAUAUGUUUAGAGAAUUGUGGCCCAAUACUCAAUGAACUGUGGUGGAGGACUCUGGAGAGCAGCACCAGGAAGACACCGCUAAAGGAGUGUCACCAUCCAAAGCUGGAAUUCCUGAUACAUGAAUCUUACUAUUGGGAAAUUUAGCUAAUUGUAUGUGAAACAUUCACUGGCUUUCUCCUCAGUUUUUUUUUUUUUUUUUUUUUUUUUUUUUUACUGUUUCAUGCAAAACACACAUUCUGUGAAGAGAGAAAACUCAUGCAUUCUAAAAAACCACUUAAACUACAUUUGUUGCCACAUGCAAUGAACACUAAAGAACUAUUUCCGUUCUCCACAAUCAAGUCUCUUCAUCCAACUCUUCAUCUUAAUUUCCACGGUAAGAAUGUUGUCAUGUACAAUAGGACAUCUCACAGUUUGGUUUACAGUUGUUGGCAAUGCAUGCUCCAUGUUGAAAGGUAGCUGCUGAGUGACCCCAACUUGUGAACAACUUGUUACGCAAAAAAUGAAUCCUUUCUCCUUAUUUCCAUGUUCACCCUCACCAGGACUGUGUGAUUUUUUCUCUUUGAAGGAGGGCAGAAAGUAAAUUUACUAAAAUAUACUAAAAAAAGUAAAAUAUACUAAAAGUAAAAUAUACUAUAAGAAAGUAUGUUUUGACCAGAUACCAAAGAAGGGUGAAUCAUUGUAUGUGGAAAACCUUAUCUGGCUUCAAAUGCUAUUGUUAAGCUUGGCCAAAAAUGUUUACACAUUAUUAUUAUUUAAAAAUUUUAUUAUUUGACCAUUCAACUGAAAAUACGGAGAAAACAACAAUGCAAAAAUUUAAGCUAAGGAACCUCAGUGCAAACUGUCCUGCUGUUGCUAGAUUCUGGUACAAAUCUGCAUCCUGUUUUAGCCUGUUGGAGUUUUAGUUCCAAGUGUGUGCAUAUCUCCAUUUUUUCCCAUUGAAAAGAAACUAAUAUAAAUAUUUGAGGAUUCUUUAUGUGUAAUUUAAAAAUUAAUUCUAUGAGCACAGCGAUCUUUUACAAGCGGGAAGACGAAAGAACCAAAAUUCUAGAGUUCAUUGACAUAAUUUCGAGGUUACUCUCUGGGUAAGCUCAGCCUGCUGAUCUGUUAUUCAAAGAUAGCUUUUGAGCAUUUUGAAAACAUCAAUUUUUUUUUUCAUCUUGGCUUCCUCUUUUUGACCAAAAAUAUGUCCACUCAUAUCUUUAAUGAAGUACUUACUCUUCUGCCAUGGGUCCAAAAACUGAUCUUAUAGGAAAAUUCAGCUUUUUAUUUACUAGUCAGAGGAAGAUAUCUUAUUUUACUAAUUCAGUUUUGUAAUGGAUAUAAAUUUAUUGUUCUAAAAUUAUAUUUAUUUGCUAUACUGAGUUUAUUCCAAUAGGCUUUCCAAACAGUGAUCAUGAUUAUUUCACUGUUCCCUGCCCGCUUUCAGGGACUGAUUCGAAGUUCCCUGGGUCUCACAUAUUUCCCAGACAUCAAAGGGAAGAGCUGGAUGAAUAGUCCUACCUGCACUCUGUCCACACUUGUUUGCAGAGUGAUGCCAUGUUUUACUUGCUUCUCAGUGCCUGUUCUAUACAGAUUGUUACUCAAAUAUCCCUUAUCCUCAUCUGAAGCACUAAAUUCAGCUAAUCUCCUUCUUCUACAGUACUACUUUUUGGCAGAAGGAAAUCUUAGGGUUGCUCCCCAACACAUUGUGCUUGGGGAGUUUUUGCAAAUCUCCAAUCUGCCUAGACAUUCCUUGCAACUCUUUGUUUUGCUGCACUUUGUGUUGCAUAGAUAGCACUGUGCUGAUGCUGUGCACUCUGGGACCUAAGCGGCCCAUGUUCUCUCUAUGGAUGUUUACAUAACACAAGAUUCAACCACCUUUCUCUGGAGACUCACUACCUUGUUAAGGUCUCAGCUGCCUCAAACAUGCCCAGGAUGAAGACUACCUCAAAAUAAACCAUAAAAUACAAAAUAAACCGAACUGACCAUUAACCUACAUGAAUGCUUUUUUCCCUUUCCCCUUUCAGUAUAAAGAGAUUUCCAUUUUCCAAUUGCAGCCUUUUCCUCUUACCUGAUCUCUCCAUUUGAUCUCUUAUUUUCUGAAGCAAUUAUUUUUGCAUUUAAUCACUUCCCAUUGACAGACCCAUUCUGACAGGGAUGGUGAUGAUGAUGAUGGCGAUGAUGAUGAUGAUGAGAGUUGUAUCACCUAUAGCAAAGUCAGGAAGACAGACCCACAUAAGGUAGUUAAACAGAAGUUUAAAAUGGAAAACCAGUUGUAAAUGUGAUAAAAGCAAGGAAAAGCUAAGUGGAAAUAGACAAUCUAUUGCUUAGCAACUGCUGAAAGCUGACUUAUCACUCAUAAAUACAAAUGAGGAAAGAUGAUGCUGCCAUAGUUUGGGGGCUGAGGGACUCUGGGGUAUUUCAAAUCAUGUAGGAGAGGCAGUUCUUAUUGAAAUCCGUCGUGGAGCUGAAAGAGGGAGAGAGAAGAGAGAGAGAGAGAGAGAGAGAGAGAGAGAGAUGACUUCUUUUUUUCUCUUGCCAUAGUGUCCAGUAAUUGCAUUCAGAAUGUUGAACCUAAUUAGACACAAAUGGAUAAGGGAGCUGAGGAGAUGGGAAGUCAGAUAUUUGUGGCACAGGGCAGGGCAAGGGGCAUCAGGUCAGGAUCUGAGAGUAAACAAAUCAAUCCCAGGCCCAAUAGAAAAUGAAUCAUAGCAUCUGUUAUCUUUACCAACCCUUGCUGCAGGCACUAAUAUUAUUCCCACUUCACAGGAGUGAAAACUAAAACAAUGUCAGGUUACAAAGAUAACAAGGAUGAAGGACAGGCUGGUUAUGGGCUGGAAGAACAGAAGAGGACUUGAGAGAAUAUUAAUCCUCCAUGUGGUCACCUUUAGAUAGAUUCACUUGUUCAAAUCAGUAGCUAUCCCUUCAGUGAAAAAACAUGAAGUGAAGUUGUCAAAUAUUUACAUGAAAAACCUUACUUAAUUACCAAUUUUUCCUUAAUUUACCUCAAUCUCUCCCAUCCCUUUUUUGUAAAAAAUAUUUACUUAUUUAUGCAAAAAGCAGAAUGAUAGAGAGAGGGAAAGAGAGGAAGUGAAAGGGAAAGGGAGAGAUAUAUAGAUAGAGAUAGAGAUAGAUAUAUAUAUAGAUAGAGAUAGAGAUAGAUAUAUAUAGAUAUAUAUAGAUAUAGAUAUAAAUAUAGAGAUAGAUAGAUAUAGAUAGAGAUAGGUAUAGAUGUAGAUAUAGAUAUAGAUAGAUUUAGAUAUAAACAGAGAUAGAGAAUGAUGUAGAGAUAUAGAUAUAGAUAUAGAUAUAGAUAUAGAUAUAGAUAUAGAUAUAGAUAUUCCUUCUACUCUUUCACUGCCCAAAUGGCCACAAGAGCCAGAACUGGACCAAGCUGAAGCCAGAAGCCUGGAACUCUGUCUGGGUCUCCCAAAUAACACAAGUACCCAAGUACUUGGGCCACCAUCUUUUGCUUUCCUAGGCACAUUAGCAAGGAGCUGGAUUGGAGGAGGAGCAUCCAGGAACUUGAACUGACACUCUGAUGUUGGAUGUUGGUAUCAAACUUGGAGCUUAAACCUGCUGUGUCAGGAUGCUAUCCCCUCUCAUCUUUUUCAUAAUCAAGUUGCUUGAAAGAUGUUGCUAAAGAAGUCAUUUUAGUUCUUCUCUUGUCACUCACUCUAUACACAGCAGUGGGUUCUAAUUCUCCCGCUCCACUAAAAUAAUCUGUUAAAAGGAUCCUAAAAGCUUGUUCAUCGCAGUAUAUAGUAAAUGCCUUUUAUUCCUUCUUACCCUGCCCUUUCUCUUCUUGGUGAAGUUUUUGGCUGUUAAUGUAAAGCACACGAAAACCUAUUUGUUGAAUUCCAGGCAAUAAUUGUCAGAGAAGAAUAAGGCUACAUCUAUGUCAUCAAAUGUGUCUUCCAUGUGAAAGAUACCAUGUAGCAUUUAAUUUAUAUCUGCCUGGCCAGAACCAAGAUAUAGGAUCACAUCUAGUUUCCAAGAAAGCUGGACGUUCAUCAUCUAAAGAAAGGAAUUUUUUUUAUUAAAAACAAGUAUUAAAUGGAUAUGGUGUUCUUGAAAGCAAUCUCUGCCAAAUAUGUUAUAUUUGAUGUCUUCAGCUGUCUGAAUAAAAUAGUAAGUAAGUCAUUAAUACUUAGGAAAAUGGAGUUGAGACUAUGGAGAGAGGACACAGUGUAUUAUGUCAGAAUACAACAAAAUAAAUAUACAAAGGAGACAUCAUGGCACUUCAUUGAUUAUGAUUUUUUAUGUACUAUAUGUCCAUCUGAAUGUUUUUUCUUUUCCCUAGAAAUAUUCAGGUACUAAAUUACAGGAAGUAAAAUGAUGUAGGUUAAAAUUCAACAAGAAUUCUCCUGAAUAUACAGUGGAGGGAAGAAGGAUCAACAGAAUUGAAAGUGUUUGCAAAUAGUGACUGUAACAGCUUUGAUAUAAUCAAACUGGACAGAAAAGAGAAAUAAAACAGGGAAAAAGCUAAUAAGAAGACUUUUACAGCAAGGAGGCUGGAGAAGUGUUGGGAACUGUAAUAUCUGAAGUCUGUAUUUUAGAUCUGGUUCUAUUUCCAACAAAAUCAAAGCCAAGUGUAGAAAUAGAUUUCUAAGGUACAGUAGAAAUGAAAUGAACAAAGAGAUGAAAUAAACGGAGAGAUCAGCUCAUGGCCCAUUCAUCUGUGCCAAUGUUGAAAUAGCUGCUGAUGAUAAUGAGGUAGGGAGGAAUGGUCUGCCCUUAGAGAUGUCUUCAGUAAAUGAUAAAAAGUAGUGCAAUAGACAGUAAUCAGGACUCAAGGGAGGAUGGCAUGAAGGAUGGCAUGGGAAGAUGAACUCCCUCAGAAGAGGGCCUGUGUGGCACUUGGGAGGGGACUCAUGACCCGCAGGUGUCAAUGAGAAGAAAGGAGUGCAUCUAUCACUUCACUGUGCCGACCUGUUGAGAGCAAUUCAGUGGAAGAAUUUCCAUGAAAGGAAGACAGGCUUCAGAGAAGGUCAGCCAGUGAUGAGGACCUUCAGAAAGGAGGUGGCAGUGCAGGGGAGUUUGCUCAUCACAAAUUGGACAAAGGAGGGUGCAAUCCAGUUGGGUGGAUGAUUGUAUAGAGAGCAGUGUGGGAACUGGUGAUGGUUACCAUGAAUAGGCAUACAAGGUAUCACGGCCUCCAAGCUCACACCCUCAAAUGAACAUGAUCCGGACACGUGGGUCACGAUGCUUUUCCAAUGGCUUACUAAAGAGCAUCUCUUUCCUUCUGAUGAGUUGAGCAGGGAGCUUUACUGUGAUUGCUUGUUUAACUUUGUUAGCAUUCUUAAUAGUUCUAUCUCUGCUAGAUUAUAAACUCUAUGACAUCAAAGUCUUCCUCAAUGAUUUCACAAUAUUCCUAGGAACUAGUAUAGUGCUUGACAUACAUACCAAGGACACCCACUAGAAAAUUUGCAAAGGUGAGAAAAAGAAAUAAUUGAAGUGAACUGGGUUUUGUAUUUUUUUGUUACAAAGACUUUGCAUAUUUAGUUUAAAUUAAAAAGGGAAACAUUUAAAAAGGAGAGUAAUCAUUCUCUAUUUCUUAAUAUGUGAUACACUGUUGGUCUCACCUCUGCUUUUCAAUUCUGUAUGGACACAGGUGUAAAAUAUGUUUCUCUUAGCAUAAAAACAGUGGUUGUCCCUGGAAAGGACAAUUGAGAGAGGCAGUCUCACUGGGGAGAGGUCAGAACUGUGGUGAAGAUGACGAACCUUUCUGUGCCCCAGCUGCUUAUCUCACCUGUGCACUUGCAGGCUCUGGUUGUUCAAAGCAAGACUGAAAUCAACACUUGUACCUGAAAUAUUCUGAUUCUGAAAUGUUGGUUUGACUUUCAGUACACAGCGUAGGCAAAAUUUUCUCAUGUCCAAAGGCUGUGUUUGAGCUCUCAUCCUUGGUCUAGACUUCUGCUGUGCAUUCAUUAAGUAUUUACUGAAAGAAGUCAGUGAGUGAGUAGUUUAAGGGAGGCCAUAUAUUUGAGUUAUGGACAACCAUUUGGUUGUGUUUACAGCAGAGUCAUUAAUCCCAACAACUCUCAGAAGUUGUUUGCAACUUCCUAGCAAUAACAUGAUGCUUCUUCAAAAACUCUUUCACCCAAAGUAAAGCUAAUAUGCAAGGAAAGCAUGUCCUAGAUAAUCGUUUCUCUAUUGUGAAAAUAUUUCAUAUGUACUUUAUGGUUUGCUGUGACCCUUUCCUAAGGAUAAUGAUUUUUGAUCCAUCUAACCAAGUUGAUUCCAAAGACCUUGUAUAAUAAAUCAAUUAUUAUAAAUAUCAGAUUGAAUAUUUUCCAGUAAAAAAGCAAUUUCACAGUAAAAUUGCUCUGUUUGUGGGGCUGUAGUAGAUGAAUAAGAAACACAGAUAUUAGGAUAUUAUAUUUCUAUUACUUAGGAUAGCCUAAGAAUUUUUCUAUAUUGGUUUUAAAAAUAUCAUUUAAAAAUAUCUCUAAUUCAAUGUAGUAGAAUUGAGACUCCUCACAAAACAUUAAAGAUAUCUAUCUAACCAAUAAUAAUACACCUAUAUUACAUAAGAUCUAAACAUAAAUAUUUUCAAAACCAUGCUUGAAUUUCAAUGCAGAAAUAUAUUUAUUCUGUAUGUAGAUUAUGAAACUCAUUUCCACAAUUAUAUAUCAGCAUGCAAAUAAACUCUUUUGUAUUUUGAAGAGUCUUCUUUCUAUGUCAGAAGAAUAGUAAAAAAUUGAAUAUUCCAAUGAAUAUUGAUCUGUCCGUAUAUAAAAACAAAACUAAUCUGCACAUUUUAGAACACUCAGUUCAGAAUGCCAAAUUACAAACUCUGUACCAAAUAAGCAUGACUUAAUCAAUAUAUGACAGCAUCUCUAAAUUUGUUCCUCUUCCAACUUAAGACCAAUCCAAAAAAAAAAAAAAAAAAAAAAAAAAAACAAACAAACAAAAAAACAAAUGAAUACCCUUAACCAGUCACAUAGGGUGCUUGAUUCUAAUCAAGUUCAGCAACCUCGUGCCAACCCCUCCAAUCACAGCCUUUUCUACUUCAUCAUGAAGCUUUCUGAUCCUUUGCCUUCAUUUGAAUCCGUGCCAAAUGCAAGUGGUGGAGCUGGAUGCCUUGCAUUAGAGCCAGCACUGAAUACACAGCCUGUGCUUGUUCUCAAUUAGAUGAUCUUCAUUUAAUUUCAUACUGGGUAUUUAUUUUUAUUUGUAUAUUUUGAAAGGUGGAAAAAUUGUUAACCUCCAACAUUUUAGGUUCUUUGGUUGGCCUAUGAAUUAAAAUGACAUAAAAUGAUUGACAGUAUAAAAACAAUUUUAAUUAUGUUUAUAUACACAGGAGUGCCAUAAAAAUUGUGAGAAGUUGCCAGGUGAUUAUGCUUAUGUGGAUGGCAAUCACAAGCUAGAGUAAAAACAGUGGCUUGGCGUUUCUCAGGGGCAGUUGAGACAGACUGUGGAAAAGUGUGGGAGGAGGAAAUAUAUGAUGCAUAGAGGCUGCCUUGUCAUGCAGAUAAACGUCUCCCAAGUGAUAAGAACUGUGUCAGUGUAGCCCACUUCUUGGUAUAGAUACAUUUGCCAUUGAACACUUCUUUUGUGGAUGUACAUUUUCUUUACAAAUGGGGAAUUUUAACUUUAUUGCUGGUAGUUGAAUUGGAAAUAUAGAGAUUUUACUGUAUUAGUGCAUUUUUUAUUUUAGGUGAAAGUAACACAUUUGGGUAUUGUUAGAACUCCAAGAAUGAUACCUCUAAAAUAUGUCAGUUUUUAUCACUCUGAACAAUUUGAUACAAAGGAAAUUAAACGAAAAUCUUAAAAUCCAGCUCAGAAUCAAUAUCCCUCUAACUUUGCCUUGCUUUCCAUACCUGCAUCCAAGUGCCAAGAGAGACUCUGAAAUUCCCUCUUGUGUAUAAAAACCAGAUUGCAUAAAGGGAACACAAUCGCCUUCCAUAUCCACCCUGAAAAGCCAUUCACUAUCUCAGAAAAUAAGACUGAGGAACAUAACCACACCUGGACAGACUUCUAUUUCAAGAUAAUGUGUGUCCCUUGUGUCCAUUCAAAUUCCAAAGAGAAUCAUUUUGUGAGCUAAUUUCAGUCUAUAGCCACUCAUUCCCCUAACAUUUCUCUGUUCUCUGCAUCCCUCAAAAUUAAUUCCCACAUUCUCUCUUCCAUUAGAAAAAGGGAUAUAUAAGCUUUGACAUUCUCUUGGGCUGCAUGGUAAUUGCACUAAGUGACUGUCUCCAGGCAAGGGGCACUUCUGUGAGCCUUUUCUCCAAUUAAUCUACCUUUGACAGUUUCUUCAGUUCCAAAGGACAGAAGUAAGGAAAUAGACAAUAGGCAUUUACUCUGUGCCAGGACAUCCAUGUGGUAAAUAUGAUGAUUUAUUAUUAUGGUAAUAAGUGUUUUCUUUAAGGUAGUCAAAGGAAGAGAAUCUUAGUCUCUUAAUGAAUAGGGAAGGAAAAGUUCCUCAAUGGCUUGACUGAUUUAAGGUCAGAGAUUAUAAAAGUGAAAGGAAUUAAUUUGAGGGUGUGAGGAACUAAAAUCCAAGAGACACAGGUUCAGAUACCUCUGAGUCAGUGUUCAGAGGAAGGAAGAUGACAGUGGGUGUUUCCAUGGGCAAACAGGAUGGAUUUGCUAUGUAGAGGUAAAAGUCUCUUUGGAUGAACCUUCUUUGAGAAAGAACAGGAGCUUUGUGAAAGGUGGAAGAUAGAGAAUAAAUACAUACAUUUAGUAAAAAAUGUCCAUAAAAUAAGAGCUGAUGUACAUCAGCUGGGGUCUAUGGGUACCAUGUAGUUAUCAGAUCCUUCCAGAUGGCUGCAGCCAUGUGUGGAGGUUACCAAAGUUCACCUAGUUAGGUAGAAGCUUGAGACAUGCAUAGGUAUUUCUCCCGAAUGCCCCUCAACUCCAUUUUUAAAAGUUCUGUCCAUGUUGCUUUCAUUUUAUUUUUGCCCAUGUGUCUCCAUAAUACUUUCAUAUGAGAGUUAAAGCCUACUGAAGGGCUUGAAUUUUACUGGAGAAAAAAUUUUCUGUUGGUUAUACUGGAAGGAUAGGAAGAAAAUGUUAUUUUUGUAAAAGAAGGAAUAAUUCACAAUUGCCUGAUUAGAAUUCACACAUGAAUGCAGCGCAGUUAGCCUUCCAUUUGCCAAAGAUUAAGGAGAAAUUUGUUUUGGAAAUAAUAACGAGUACAGUAGAUUGUGACCUGUAGAAAGGCUUAGAGUGAUAAUGAUAAUAAUAUUUAAAACAGUUUGUCAAAUAUCUGCCAUGCAUUAGCCUACUUUUAAAUUCAUGUUCUUACUUAAGUUCCACUAAAGUCCCAUGAAGUAGAUUUUAUUUUUGUUUUGAAGGUGAAGAAACUGAAGCUGAGUGUAUAAUGCCCUCCAAAAU